AUGCUCCUUCAAGUAGGGCAGAAGGACUUUCUGUUUCUUUUUCUUCUCUUUACAGGAGGACUUUUUUAUCACAUGGAUAAAAGAGGAAACAUCAAAAGUCUCCAGGUCACUUUGCCAUUGUACAAAUCUCAAAAUUUCACAAGCCUACCCUCGUCAUUUAUGGAAAAUUUGGGAGAAAAGGGCUCCCUCUCCAGCAGUGCCUCUGCUCUCAAGUGUUUCCCCGUUAAGACACUGUUUUCUGCAUAUUUUACAUCAGCCACUCUCCACUCUUCUUCCUGUUUUGUUUUUUCAAGCACAGCAAACCUAGAAGGAGGCCAAGGUACCAAGAUUCAUACCUAGAUCAGUAAGGGAAUCAUGAAACAUAAACACUGAGCUCUUAGCUACUGUCCUGUGCUGUAUCAAAUAAUAUUAUGAGAAAAAAACUCAUCUUACCAAAAUGACAUACUGUAAGGUAACAAACAUUAAAACAAUAGAGCACCGCUACCAAAAUUGACCUGUAUGACAAUACAGAAAAUCUAGGAGUAUAUUUAGUUAUAUGUAUUGAUUACAUAACAAUUUCACAGUAAAUAAAGCAAGAUCCUGAAAACA
This 588-nucleotide long non-coding RNA is filed under the name Felis catus (domestic cat). RNAcentral describes it as "lncRNA (ENSFCAG00000045111.2)". Lineage: Eukaryota; Metazoa; Chordata; Mammalia; Carnivora; Felidae. The record is from RNAcentral.